This 310-nucleotide unclassified non-coding RNA is filed under the name Hevea brasiliensis (rubber tree). The record is from RNAcentral. Lineage: Eukaryota; Viridiplantae; Streptophyta; Magnoliopsida; Malpighiales; Euphorbiaceae.
GAUUGAUUACAUUUGUAAUAAGCUGGGAGCAUAGUGUCUUUGCUUCAGCUUGAGGGAGAGUAUUGAAAUAAUCAUUGUAGUUAUGCCUUGGAUUAGGAAAUUACACUAAAUUAGAAAAUCACCCUAUAAUUAGGAAGAUUUAUUUUAUGCCUCAAUAGUGCCUGUAAAUGUUUUCCUAUUUAGUUUUUCUGUACUUGGUAUUUAAUCCCCGAAGGCUUAAGGAAUAAUCAAGCUAAUUUUCAACAUUUUUUUUCUCUAUUUUUCUAAUUCUUCACUUUCAAUAAUGUAUUUCUUCAAAAACUAUCAAAGA